Molecule: ribosomal RNA, 525 nt
Filed under: uncultured soil bacterium
Lineage: Bacteria
Description: bacterial SSU rRNA
Rfam family: Bacterial small subunit ribosomal RNA
Source: RNAcentral
UAGAGUUUGAUCCUGGCUCAGAUUGAACGCUGGCGGCAGGCCUAACACAUGCAAGUCGAGCGGUAGAGAGAAGCUUGCUUCUCUUGAGAGCGGCGGACGGGUGAGUAAUGCCUAGGAAUCUGCCUGGUAGUGGGGGAUAACGUCCGGAAACGGACGCUAAUACCGCAUACGUCCUACGGGAGAAAGCAGGGGACCUUCGGGCCUUGCGCUAUCAGAUGAGCCUAGGUCGGAUUAGCUAGUUGGUGGGGUAAUGGCUCACCAAGGCGACGAUCCGUAACUGGUCUGAGAGGAUGAUCAGUCACACUGGAACUGAGACACGGUCCAGACUCCUACGGGAGGCAGCAGUGGGGAAUAUUGGACAAUGGGCGAAAGCCUGAUCCAGCCAUGCCGCGUGUGUGAAGAAGGUCUUCGGAUUGUAAAGCACUUUAAGUUGGGAGGAAGGGCAGUAAAUUAAUACUUUGCUGUUUUGACGUUACCGACAGAAUAAGCACCGGCUAACUCUGUGCCAGCAGCCGCGGUAAUACA